This 590-nucleotide ribosomal RNA is filed under the name Rasamsonia piperina. RNAcentral describes it as "LSU rRNA". The stretch from base 1 to 326 matches the Rfam family "Eukaryotic large subunit ribosomal RNA", at positions 36 to 358 of the family's 3401-position model. The record is from RNAcentral. Lineage: Eukaryota; Fungi; Ascomycota; Eurotiomycetes; Eurotiales; Trichocomaceae.
UUGCAUAUCAAUAAGCGGAGGAAAAGAAACCAACAGGGAUUGCCUCAGUAACGGCGAGUGAAGCGGCAAGAGCUCAAAUUUGAAAGCUGGCUCCUUCGGGGUCCGCAUUGUAAUUUGCAGAGGAUGUUUCGGGAGCGGCCCCCAUCUAAGUGCCCUGGAACGGGCCGUCAUAGAGGGUGAGAAUCCCGUCUGGGAUGGGGUGCCCGCGCCCGUGUGAAGCUCCUUCGACGAGUCGAGUUGUUUGGGAAUGCAGCUCUAAAUGGGUGGUAAAUUUCAUCUAAAGCUAAAUACUGGCCGGAGACCGAUAGCGCACAAGUAGAGUGCAUAUCAAUAAGCGGAGGAAAAGCGUUACGUCGAUCGCGAGAGUUUCCUGGUCUUUGCCAUUGCGCUUGCUGUGAGUUUUACUUCCUGGGAGACAGCGCAGUUUCUAUCCAUACCUGCUGACAUCCCGGGACCGCUCUUUAUUGGGGGGACCGGUCAAAGGCCCUCGGAAUGUAACGCCCCCCGGGGCGUCUUAUAGCCGAGGGUGCCAUUCGGCCAGCCCGGCACCGAGGAACGCGCAUCGACUCGGACGCAUUUUCCAAAGGAUC